This is a small nucleolar RNA of Hyaena hyaena (striped hyena), 135 nucleotides long. RefSeq annotates it as small nucleolar RNA SNORA70. The record is from RefSeq and is a predicted model, not a curated record. Lineage: Eukaryota; Metazoa; Chordata; Mammalia; Carnivora; Hyaenidae. The transcript has a single exon.
CUGCAGCUAAUUAAGCCAACUGUGCUCUUUCCCCAUGGGGGCCUCAUGUGCCGUGGCCACAGACAGUAGUCCCCUCGGUAAUGUAUGCAGCCUGUUGCUUGUUGGGGUUGCCCUAAGGGACCUUGGAAGACAGCC